UAGGAACCAGAGGGCCCCAUAACAGCCCC
RNAcentral lists this small RNA (29 nucleotides) under Bombyx mori (domestic silkworm). Its description in RNAcentral is "ovarian small RNA-22623". The record is from RNAcentral. Lineage: Eukaryota; Metazoa; Arthropoda; Insecta; Lepidoptera; Bombycidae.